Molecule: non-coding RNA, 501 nt
Organism: Danio rerio (zebrafish)
Lineage: Eukaryota; Metazoa; Chordata; Actinopteri; Cypriniformes; Danionidae
Source: RefSeq, a predicted model, not a curated record
UGUGCAGCAGAAACACAACAGACACACGUGUGUAUCUUCACUGCUGCAGAGGAGGAGAGAGAGCAAUGCCUGAACACAAACACUACAGCAACAUCACUACAAACAAACCCACCGAAACAAAGUCACUUACAGGAUCAGUGACGUGUUGUGGACUGUAAGCCUGUUGAACAGAAGCAGAGACGUGUGGACAGACACUGACUGUACUGAUGAUGAUCAUCUGCUGCUGCACAGGCUGUAAAGUAUAACCCCUGCUGGACACGGCUCCGGAAGCUCCAGGGGGAGACCGAACUGGUAUCCCCCCUUCUUCAGGCGCGCCUCACACUCACUCACCAUUCACACAUAUCGCAGAGUUCUGGCUGGGACCGAUACCAGCAACCCCUGAAGCCGUGGGGCAGCGCUCUUACCACAGAGCCACAGAUCUCCUGUCUGAACACCUGCUGGAACUGAUGUUUGGCUGCUGACCUGUGUGUGAGCUGAUUCAAUAAAACAAGAUACAAGUCA